RNAcentral lists this ribosomal RNA (561 nucleotides) under Chaetomium pseudoglobosum. Its description in RNAcentral is "eukaryotic LSU rRNA". It matches the Rfam family "Eukaryotic large subunit ribosomal RNA", at positions 38 to 625 of the family's 3401-position model. Lineage: Eukaryota; Fungi; Ascomycota; Sordariomycetes; Sordariales; Chaetomiaceae. The record is from RNAcentral.
GCAUAUCAAUAAGCGGAGGAAAAGAAACCAACAGGGAUUGCCCUAGUAACGGCGAGUGAAGCGGCAACAGCUCAAAUUUGAAAUCCGGCUUCGGCCCGAGUUGUAAUUUGCAGAGGAAGCUUUAGGCGCGGCACCUUCUGAGUCCCCUGGAACGGGGCGCCAUAGAGGGUGAGAGCCCCGUAUAGUUGGAUGCCUAGCCUGUGUAAAGCUCCUUCGACGAGUCGAGUAGUUUGGGAAUGCUGCUCAAAAUGGGAGGUAAAUUUCUUCUAAAGCUAAAUACCGGCCAGAGACCGAUAGCGCACAAGUAGAGUGAUCGAAAGAUGAAAAGCACUUUGAAAAGAGGGUUAAAUAGCACGUGAAAUUGUUGAAAGGGAAGCGCUUGUGACCAGACUUGCGCCGGGCGGAUCAUCCGGUGUUCUCACCGGUGCACUCCGCCCGGCUCAGGCCAGCAUCGGUUCUCGCGGGGGGAUAAAGGUCUCGGGAACGUAGCUCCUCCGGGAGUGUUAUAGCCCGGGGCGUAAUGCCCUCGCGGGGACCGAGGUUCGCGCAUCUGCAAGGAUG